This 110-nucleotide ribosomal RNA is filed under the name uncultured Actinomyces sp. Its description in RNAcentral is "partial 16S ribosomal RNA". It matches the Rfam family "Bacterial small subunit ribosomal RNA", at positions 613 to 721 of the family's 1533-position model. Lineage: Bacteria; Bacillati; Actinomycetota; Actinomycetes; Actinomycetales; Actinomycetaceae. The record is from RNAcentral.
CUGGGGGCGUGCGGUGGGUACGGGCUGGCUUGAGUGCGGUAGGGGAGGCUGGAACUCCCUGGUGUAGCGGUGGAAUGCGCAGAUAUCAGGAGGAACACCGGUGGCGAAGG